Non-coding RNA from Rattus norvegicus (Norway rat), 5226 nucleotides. NCBI's taxonomy places the organism in Eukaryota, Metazoa, Chordata, Mammalia, Rodentia, Muridae. The record is from RefSeq and is a predicted model, not a curated record.
UAAGUGCCUGGGCACCUGAGCGGGCUCUUGAGCCCUCUCCAGCUCUUGCAAACCCCUGUGCUCCUGGUCUGAGAGCAGAGUGCUUCUUCUAACUUCAUCCCUAGUCUUUUUCAUAGGUUUGAGACCCAGGAGCUUCGCUCCUACCUCCUCUAGGUGGUAGCACCCACAUAGACUGGGCAAGUUGGCCACCUAUUCAGUUCCCCCGGGGCAGGACUCGUGAUCCCCCUACCUCUGGUCAGUUCCCGAACCAACUCAAGCAACUCAGUUUCCCCCGCACCCCGCAUCCAGCCCCCGGGACCCCCGUCUCUCUCUCUCUCUCUCUCUCUCUCUCUCUCUCUCUCUCUCUCUCUCUCUCUCUCUCUCUCUCUCUCACACACACACACACACACACACCUUCCUUUCAGAUUCAGCCCCGCCCCCACAAGCUUCAUCCAACGUUUUCGUCUUUUUUCCUUCCUUCUUUUUUUUCUUAUUGUCCCCCUUGAAACCCAGAAUAGAUUCUGAAACUAAAUAUAAUUCCAAGGCAUGAUCGAUUUCUAAGGCACUGUCUCCUUUCGAAGCUGGGUCGAUCUGUGCGUCUGGUAACUCAGGUCUGGUUCCCAUUUCGCCCGACCCUGAGAUCAGGUCAGCAGCCACUAUUAGCAGUGUGGGUGGAUUUUUGUUUGUUUUGUUUUUGUUUUUGUUUUUCCUCAGCUCUUUCCCUUUUUGUUCAUGUCGGGACUGUAAGCUUGUUGAAGGCAAGCGUAGCCUUUGCUUCCACUCCUAACCUGGCUUCUAGCCCAUGCAAGUUAGAAACGCUAGUUGGAGUUCCUGGAACUCAGGCUGCCUUCUAGUGACUUUCUCUAUUUGAGUUAAUAGGGCCCAGGGACCCGGGCACAGGACUUUCCGUUUCCACAAUUAGUAACAAAUACCAACAUUUACAGACACUGCAAGGCCCUAGGGACAACUCCUCUUCCACAGAACUGCAAAAUAUAUCGCCCCUGGGAAGCCAAGGACACAUGAACUAGUCCUUUCUUUAGGUGACCCAGAUGGGGACAGAGCACUUCUGAAAGGGGAGUAUGGAGAAGAGCCAACACCCACCCUGGGCUGGGAAAAGCGAACUUCACCCACUUGCUGAGCCCUAUUAACUCAGUGGGGUCUGAAUCCAGCUGCCCACAACUGCAGGGGUCUUGCCCUUCUCUUGACCAUGAUUUCAGGACCUUAGUCUGGCUAAAAAAAAAAAAAAAAAAAAAAAAAAAAAAAAAAAAAAUCUUUUUUAAAUGCUGGGAAUAUACCAUGUUUUAGCAAAUGCUGGAAGUUCUGGGGUUCUGGAAACCUGUCCUGCCUGGCAGGUUCAUUCUUAUCUGAUGUUUGAAAUUAAAUUCUCCCCCACAACUCCGUUUUAUUGUAGCAAAAUACCGGCCACUUCUUGGAGUUUCUAGUGGGUACAGAGGUAUUUAGGAAAGUUUAUAGCUAGAUGGACACUUCCCAGCUGAUCAUAACUUAAGUGAACACCCCUCUUCCUUGUUUAGGAAGAGAGGAGUCAUGCAUGCAUGAAGCCAUGGUGUGGAAAAAACGGGCACCUCAGCCUCUGGGAACAAAGACUCCUUUCUUCAGCUUUAUUGCAAGGGGAGUUUGUGGGAAAGGUGGAAUACAUCUGUUUAUACAGCUGUUUGGUUUUUUUUUUUUCCAAAAGGAAAAGAAAAUGUAUGCUGCCAGAGAUAGGGGCAUUUCUAAAGCCGGCAGAAAGGUCCACUGCAGCGGGCUUUCCUGGAUGCCUCAGCUAUUGCCAGCUGAUGGCGGUCUGGUCCACUAUUGAGAAAACACCACCCAGCCAGGCAAUGAGGGCCUCUUCUCUCCCAGGGCCCUGCGGGUAGUUGGCCAUGCUGUCACCCAGCUUGAGCAAACAGUCUGAAAAGCCCUUAAAGACUGCAUCGCACUUGCCUGCUGCUCUCACGGCCUGCACCAGCAUGGAGUCUCUUGUUUGUGAAACUCUUAGGUGAAUACUUCCUCUGCACCUCUGAAGAAGGGCAAUAAAUGUCCAGGGACCUAGCUGGGGUGAGGAUUGGUCUCAGUAGCUCUCUCUCUCUCUGUGUGUGUGUGUGUGUGUGUGUGUGUGUGUGCGUGCGCGCGCGCGCGCGCAGCACCCUGUUUUCUCUUUGAGUCUCUGUAUCUCAAACCUUUGCACACCCCCUUUAUGUCUCUGGAAACCGCUAGAUCAGACCUUUCUUCUCAAGGUUGCAGCUAGGCUGCUAGGGACCCAACAAGCUGCGGCCUAGGGCCCUGGCUCUGAGGGGGUUGGGGUGGGGUGGGGGUUGGAGGAGGUAGAAGCUGUGACAGAGGCAGUGGGGGAGAGAAGAAAACAGAAUCAGGCCACACUGAGGUCCUAGCUCCCAUACUCAAGCCAACCAAACUCGGAGGCGGUGAAUUUAAGAGCUGCCAGCUUCCCGGCAGACCAGCGCAUUUAAAAACCCAUUUCUCCCCACACGGCUAACAAACACCCCGGGUACCCGAAGGGCUUGAGAGGGGCUCAAAUCUCCGCUAUAAUGGCGGGGGAGGGGUGGAGGGAAAAGGUGAAAUCAGGAAUGGAAAUGGGCCGUGGGCUCUGGGGGUCCGAGCACAGGCCUCUUCUGCCUCCAUCCCGGUGUGAAAGCUAGCAACCGUCCCAGUCUUAGGCAGCUACCUGUCCCUGAACAUCAAACUACUGCAGACUCCAGGGAAGGUGACCCAGUCAGCCACAGCCAGCCGAGAGCUGCGCUUGGCAGAUUGCAGCAGGAAGAGCUAGGCGGGACUACUGCUUUCUAAUCCGGAACGGGAAGCUCUGCGGAAGGGAGCGAGGUUAACUUCCACCUCAGCUGGGACAAACACACAACCUUCCAUAGACCUAGACUCUCCUUCACACCGAUUUUUAAAAACCCUUGGCACUAUAAUAAAAGCAGAAUUUAAACACUGACACCGUGUCUUAUAAAUAAAUCGUUGUUCUACUGUAGCUCGGUCACGAUGAAAGAAAUCCUAUUUAGCUUCCUCUAUAAUGUAUGUUACCAACAUGCCUUUGCAAAAAGAAAACAAAAUGCGACCUAGCCUCUCUGGCUGCAGGCUCUUCCUGACUCAUUGACCUCCAAAAUUCGGUGUCCGAUUUGAAAAGAGGGGUUGGGGCUUUCUGGAGGCGGGAAAUCUCCCUGUCACUUUAUUUUUCCAGGCGUUGCUGGAUCAGACCCUGUAGGGCGCAUGUGUGUGAGCGUGUGUAAAAUACGAAUUCGGGAACAUUUCUGUGUCUCGCAAUUGUGGCUUCUAGAAAUCAAGCUUGCACUGGAAAGCCGGAAGCAGUGCGCGGGACAGAGGUUGCAGGCAUAAGCCUCUGAGCACAUCGGUCGAGUUCCCGGUCCUUUCUGAACCUGGUUUCUGUAACCCCCAGGCAGGCAGCCGACCCGUCUCCUCUACAUCCCUAUCCAGUGCGGUUUUCAUUUGCUCAUUCAUUUCUUGGAUCUCUCUCAUUCAUUCCAAACUUCCUCAUCCUCUACUUCCCCGCCCCUCCCCAACCCCCACGCUUCUUGCCAAAUGUCAGUAAUUUGGGAGAGCUUCCAUCUAUGAAUUAAUAAAGACUGAAGCUCUGAUGCAAAAAAAAAAAGGGGGUAGACAUUUGGGGGCACAUACAUUUUAAUUCCACUAUGAAAAUGAUGGUCAUUUUUCAGGCCGAGGUUAAUCAAAUGAAUCCCUCCUGCAAAUCACUGUUUCACUAUAUUCUAUUUUCACCCAUUAGGAAACAGAGUCUCUAAACAUCCUCCAGGUGAAUCCCCUAUCUUAAAACACUCGCUUUUUCUUAAUCUGUGAACAUUGGUCAUCUAACUACAAAAUGCCAUGCUCACUCAUUUCCAAUACUUAAAGAAUUUGCUGCCCUUGGGAUCCAUGUCCUAUGAUGGUUGCAGCUCUUUGAACUAAUGUCAAAGGCACAAAACCACCAGAUACAACGCAUUAAGUCAUUUCCUAAAAUUAAAGGAAAAGCCAACAUCCUGCUGCAUGCUCCUUGCUUUGCAAGACCCCAGUUUCUGCAAAACAAUAAACAAACAAUCAAAAAAAAUCCCCCAAAUCAAAUUCUCAAGAUUAUGUCAAAUGCAUAUGGACCCCGAUGGAAAGAAUCAGUUUUAAUGUUCCAGGAGCCCCAAUUCCUCUACAUUUCUUAUGAAGAAAAAAAUGUUAAGCAUCCCCGUCUCCUGUCCCACACAAAUUCCCUGAAGAGCCCCUGAAAUUCUGCAAGGAUUUGUCUGUAAAGAAUGCUAUAUCCUGGCACGAUAACAGCUUUCUCCAUCUCCAGAAUAACCACAGGAGAGUUUCUAUUUUUUCCUUUUGUCCAUUCUAUUAAUAAACUGCUUUACUUUCACUUUUCAGCUACGUUAAUUAAUGUUCCAAUCCGGUAUCAGACAAGCAAAUUCACUAGUAUUUAAAGCAUUUGCAUAUUGGAUGGAAAAAAAAUAUGAACUUUAAGAAAGCUUCCCAACAGUGUAGCUGAGACUCGACAUUCCUUAACAUAAAAUGGGGGACUAAGUCAAUCCAUCCACAAACAGCCGCAAACAAAAAUGACAAACACACGAAAAGACAUAUUGCAAACACGGUAAAGCCCUUUCCUGUAUAAAAAGACUAGCGAUGGUAAUAUGUAAAAUCACAGACACACAUGAGCCUGAAAAAGUAUAUCGGUGCAUAUUUGGUUGAUUUAUCCUUCUCAGAGUAGUCUGCGGUGCCGGGAGCAAACGCUGCAGCUCGGAUAUAGGGGGAGGGGCGGGGGAAGGACAAAGUUCUAAAUGCUGCAGUUUGAGGGCAGCCUUGGAAUAUCUUCGCUUUCUGCAUAUAAACUUUUCAGCCCUCAGCUGCCUAGGCAUCUUAUUCUUGCCUUCACGUUCCGACCCCUCAAGAUAGUAUCUUGCAGUAUAACAUGGGACAAAUGCUACGAGCGCUCAGAUCCUGUUUCAACCCCGAAAAGAGAGAAAAAAAAAUGGAUGUGCGCUUUGGAGAAAAAGGGGAAAACCCCCCUUGGAAAAUAGCUGGUCACACACUUCCCUGCAGAAGAAAUUUCUUUCUUUAGGAAGACCCAACCAGGACUCCAGAGUCCCCAAGAGCUAAUACCCGGAUCCCGGGAGUCUGCAGGGUUUUCUGCAACCAGAGGCUGUUGCCGGCCAGCAAAGUCCCCUAAGGCGCCUCUGGGGCAGGCAAUCUCCAGCCGCCUACCGAGCCUUACCGGGCGGCCACUUACCU